RNAcentral lists this ribosomal RNA (540 nucleotides) under Mocallichirus mocambiquensis. Its description in RNAcentral is "partial large subunit ribosomal RNA". It matches the Rfam family "Bacterial large subunit ribosomal RNA", at positions 1831 to 2625 of the family's 2925-position model. Lineage: Eukaryota; Metazoa; Arthropoda; Malacostraca; Decapoda; Callichiridae. The record is from RNAcentral.
GUCUGCUCGUUCUUAAGAGCAGUCUGGCCUGCCCAAUGAUUUAUUUUUAAUGGCCGCGGUACCCUGACCGUGCGAAGGUAGCAUAAUAAUUAGUCUUUUAAUUGAAGACUGGAAUGAAAGGUCGGACAAAAAACAAUCUGUCUCAACCUUAAAAAUUGAAAUUAACUUUUAAGUGAAAAGGCUUAAAUAAUCUAGAAGGACGAUAAGACCCUAUAAAACUUUAUAUUUGUAAAUAAUAGACCUCUAAUUGUUUGUUUAACGUUGAAUAUUUUUUAUUAUAUUUGGUUGGGGCGACAGAAGUAUAAACUUAACUGCUUUUUUAUUUAUACAAUCAUUCUUGUAUUAAUUUGACCCUUUUUUAAGAUCAAAAGAAAAAGUUACUUUAGGGAUAACAGCGUUAUUUUUUUUGAGAGUUCUUAUCGACAAAAAAGUUUGCGACCUCGAUGUUGAAUUAAAGUUUUCCUUAUAAUGCAGCAAUUAUAAAGGUAGGUCUGUUCGACCUUUAAAACUUUACAUGAUUUGAGUUCAAACCGGUGUGAG